AUGUUAAAGUUUCUAAUCCACCGUUUCUUGUCCUCUAAACGAACGGCGCACCAGAGAGGAUGCGUCGGGAACCUUCUGUCACCUUUCCUGGAGAAAUCCGCGGGCAACUGCGUGUUUCCCACGGCGUGUUUCCAACUUGCCGUUCUUAUGCAGCACCGACCGCCCGUCCACGGGCAACCGCGUGUAUCCCACGGCGUGUUUCCAACUUGCCGUUCUUAUGCAGCAACGACCGACCCUUCCCACCGAUUCGUUCUUGUCGGCCACAACUAAGAAGGAAUUCCAUCUCAGCCGUUGCUUCUUUCCUUUACACUCUGAUCUGGAUCGUUGGCUGCCUCGCUUGAAAUCUAUAAGUGACGGGACUCCCUCCCCUUCCUUGCCACCGUUGUUUUGGUUUCUGGUAUGCGUCGUUCCGCGUCUCCUUAGCCACCCGUUGAUCGUCGAAGGCGGUGCACCCAAUUCCUCAGCCGUCCGUUUUUCGUUGAUUUCGUUUUCGAAUUGGAUGAUCUGUUCUCGAUAGGUGGUGCAUCCAAAGCCUUUUAAUCGUUGAUUUCGGAUUCGGGCACUUGAAAUUGGUAUUGCGCGAAUCGGAAGAUGUGAUUUUGAUGGAUGGUAGAUCAAAAGCCUUUCAAAUCUUGUGGUUUUCGUUAUUGAUCUGUUGAAAUUGGUCUUGAACGAAUUGGGUAAUCUAUUUUCGAUCGAUGAUGGAGCGGAAAAUUUUGAUAUAUGUCGUUUUAGUUUUCGAGCACUUCAAACACGAAAUUGGAUGAUCUAUUUUCCUAAGAAAUACGGAAGGUUGAGAGGGGACUUCACAAGUUGCAGGAUUUUUUAUGCUCCUAGUUUUUUGAAAGAUUAAAUUAUCCUAACUCGCUAGUACCAUGAUCCCAAAUUCUCGAUCUCUCCUUUGUGGCAGAUUUUAUAUAUAUCAUCGACGCGGCUGGUGGUUGGUGAGGCUGUGGUGUUUAUAUGGUUUUUAUCUGUAUGGAGCCCACACGGAGCCUGUGAUGAAGAUUGUUAAGGAUCCUCUGGUUUCCGUUGAAUGAUAAAAAUAGGUUUUCCAUUAGAUAGUGGUUUAUUUAAGGGGUUUCUUUGCUGUGACACACACCGCUUAUUAUCAUGGAUGCAGGUCUUCAGAAAUGCUCUGAACAAUGGUUGUGUCCGGUUUGUGCUAGUUUAGUCGGCCCUCGUUACUUUCAACUAUCAUUUGUUGUACUUAUGUGCACAAGUCAGUUAUUUUGAUACGGUUCUCAUCAAAAUAUGGUUGUUUGUUUUAUUUGUUGUGCAAGGGAAAGCUGAUGGACAUCUAGUUUUGCAUGGGCACGUGACAGUAUCUUUUUGAAAGAGAGAUGUGAUUGUUUUGCUCUCUUUUGGUAUUUGGUUUUAAUGGAAGAGGUUCCAUUAACUUCUCAUUUUUUCAGCAUUGGCAGUUUAAUUUGUUGAUUAUUUUCCCUGUCUACUACUUCCGUUGGCAUGCUUGGUACAUUUUAUAAAUUUGCACUUUUGAUGUGAGUCUUUCUCUAUGUUUUCUGAAUGUUAAAUUUGCACAUUUUAUAAAUUUGCACUUUUUAUAAAUUUGCAAAUUUAUAAAUUUGCACUUUUUAUAAAUUUGCAAAUUUAUAAAUUUGCACUUUUUGUUUGCAGUUGCAGAAGCAUCAGCAUUAGCCAUAAGUCUGGUAAAUAGACAUGGUUACUGACCUUUCUUGGAUUGUAUUUGGUAUGAGAAGUGGGUUUACAUUUUUGGUAAGGUUAGUGUAGAUUUAGGAGUCCAAAUUAUGCCCAAAAAUUUGAGAUUUUAUGUUUUUAUCCAAAUGUUAAUUGUUCUUGUUGUCAUGAAUUUUCAGCAGUUACUUGCUGGACUAGUCUUAUUAGAAGAUCAUUUGAACUUCUCAUUUGUCUCUUCUGGGAUUCUUUGUCAGAUAUCUACUUUGCAGCUUAGUUGUCUUUUUGUUUUAACCUGCUUCUGGUCAGGUCAUGAGGUAUUUGGUUCCAGUUAUCUUGUAGAUGUUUUUUGAGUAUGAUGAUGAAUCAUAGGAAAUACGGAAGAUUGAGAGUUUAGGAAUUACGGCAGCUUCUAUUUUUUUUUGAUAAGUAAAAGUAAAUUGAUUUUGUGUAAAGUUUCUACAAAUAGUUUUGUCUAUACAAGUUAUAAACGAAGCUAAGUAACUCGUAGAGUACUCAUGCGGUAGUUAUGACUAAACAUGCUGUAGACUAUAACUCUUAACUAUGGCCAACAAAUAAAAUUUAAAGUCCAGAUAUACCAAGAUUUCCUGUGGGUAUAGCUUUUAACAUCAUGCCCAAGAUCUUUAGCUAAUAGCAAAAUUGAAUUUAAUAAAAAUAUCUUUUUCUCUUUGUGUAAGGUGCUCCAUUUUCAGAUCGUUCUCCAUACAUGAUCUUGAGUCUCUAAUAAUCUCUGUCAAGAGCUAAGCAUUGUUUGUGUGUUGACACUCAAAGAUUCUGCUACAUCUUUCCUUCCACAUCCACCAAAUAGCGCAUCUGAAUAUAACCUUUGUCAAUUGUGUAAGAGGCCCUUUUCUUGAAAAAUAUUGCAUGAGGUCAGCUAAUUCUUGAUGCAAGUUUGAUUGCGGCAUUUUAUUGAGUUCGAAUCGCUGGAGAAUCUCCUUCCAUAUCCAUUUAGUAUAGUCACAAGCAAAAUAGAGAUGGUCAACAGUUUCUUCUUGUUGCAUGCAAAGGGAGCAUCGGUUAACAUGAUGGAUACCUCUUCUUUUCAUAUUGUCUAUUAUAGGUAAUUUAUUCAGAAGGGCCUGCCAUGUACAUAAGGAAUGUCUCUGUGAUCCCGGUCGAUCCCAUGUCCAACUGCUUGGGAGCCACUUGUUAUUUCUUUGCCUAAUUUGAUUCCAUGCAGAUGUGACACUAAAUUUGCCAUUGUCAUGAAGCCAAAUAAAUACAUCUGAAGGGUUGUUCCUGAUUAGAAUAGCUGUGAUAGUCGGCCAAAGUGAUAACAUUUCAGGAGAAAUAGGAGUAGGGAGACACCAGGUACCAUUAGCAAUGAACUCGGAAACCUUCCAAUCUUUGGGAGCCCCAAGGUCUUUUCGUAUUCUGUCACCAUAUAAUUGAAAUAUACUUUUCCCAUUCACCCAAGGAUCGUACCACAUAUUAGUAUUAGUUCCAGUAGAGAUUGCAUAAGAAAUGUGUUUGAUUAGCCAAUUCCUUGGUUCUAGUUGAUUCUAGUUGAUUCUAUUGGUUCUAGUUGAUUCCGAUUAUUAUUUUAAUUACUUGAGGUUUUCCCUUGCCAGAGGACUGCACAGUAUUUAUGGUUUAUAUGCUUCUAGUGCUUUGAAAGAUUGAUUGUUAUAACUCAUGAAUACCUUGAUCCAGAAUUCUCGAGCUCUCUUUUGUGGCAGAUUCUAUAUGCAGUUGGUGAGGCUGUGUUGUGUAUGUGGUUAUUAUCUGUAUGGAGCCCACACAGACCCUAUGAUGCAGUUUGUUCAGGAUGCUCUGGUUUCCUUUGAAUGAUUAAAAUAGGUUUUCCGUUAGAUUCUGUUAUAUUUUAGGGGGUUCUUUGCUGUGAAAUACACUGCUUAUUAUCAUGGAUGCAGGUCUUCUGAAAUGCUCUGAACCAGUGUCUGAACAAUGAAUAUGUCCAGUUUGUGCUGGUUUAGUUGGCCCUCAUUACUUUCAACUAUUAUUUGUUGCACUUGUCUGCACAAGUUGGUCAUUUGAUACGGUUCUCAUCAAAAUAUGGUUGUUUGUUUUUAUUUGUUGUGUGCAAGGGAAAGGAGAUGGACAUCUAUUUUUGCAUGGACAUGUGAGUAGUUUUUUGAAAGAGAGAUGUGUGUGUUUUGCUACUUUCCUAUGGUAUUUGGUUUUAAAUAUGCUCUAACCCUUUGAUCAACUUUGCUGUGCCUGUUGUAUAUCUCUAGUUGGAUGUAGACGGGUCUCAAGUAAGAAGUUCCAUUAACUUCUCAUUUUUUCUGCAUUGGCUGUUUAAUUGUUGUUUAUUUUCCCUGUCUGCCACUUCUGUUGGCAUGCUUGUGACAUUUUAUAAAUUUGCACUUUUGAAGUUAUUCUUUCUCUUUGUUUUCUUAAUGUUCUAUUACUAGUGUUUUUGUGUGCAGUUGCAGAAGCAUCAGCAUUAGCCAUAAGUCUGGUAAUUAGACAUGGGUACUGUCCUUUUUUGGAUUGUAAUUGGUAUGAAACAUAGGUUUUACCUUUUUGAUAUGGCUAGUUUAGAUCUAUGAGUGCAAAUUAUUCACGAUUUUUUGGGAUAUUAUGUUUUUGUCCAAAUGUUAAGUAUUCCUAUUGUUGUUAAUUUUCAGCAGCUACUUGCAUGGCAAGUAUUAUUUGAAGGUCAUAUGAAUUUCUGAUUUGUCUCUUCUUAGAUUCUUUGUCAGACUUGUAAUUUGCAGCUUAAUUGUCUUUUUUUUUUAACCCGUCUUGAGGUAUUUAGUUUCAGUUAUCUUGUAUAUGUUUUUUUAAUAUGACACUAAAUAAUAAGAAUUACAGAAGAUUGAGAGGUUAGGAGUUCCGACAGCUUCUAUUGGUUAUAGUUGAUUUCAAUUAUUAUUUUAAUUGCUUUAGGUUUUUCCUUGCAUUCUCUCAAAGGACUUCACAAUUUGCAGGAUUUAGGGUUUUUAUGAUCCUAGUGCUUUGAAAGAUUAGAUUGUCAUAACUCGCGAGUACUGUGAUCCAAAAUUCUCGAGUCUCUUUUGUGCUAGAUUCUAAAUGUAUCACUGAUGUGGUUGGUGAUGCUGUGGUGUUUAUGUGGUUAUUAUCUGUGUGGUGCCCACACAGACCCAAAGGUGCAGUUUGUUAAGGAUGCUCUGCUUUCCGUUGAAUUAUUAAAAUAGGUUUUCCAUUAGAUAGUGUUAUCUUUAAGGGGUUUCUUUGCUGUGACAUACAUUGCUUAUUAUCUGGUUUGAACAAUGGGUCCUCGUUACUUUCAACUAUUAUUUGUUGCACUUAUGUGCACAUGUUGGUGUUUUGAUAUGGUUCUCAUCAAAAUAUGGAUUGUUUUUAUUUGUUGUGUGCAAGGGAAAGGAGAUGGACAUCUAGUUUUGCAUGGGCAUGUGACAAUAGAUUUUUGAAAGAGAGAUGUGAAUGUUUUGCUACCUACCUAUGGCAUUUGGUUUUCAGUAUGCUCUAACCCUAUCAUCAACAUUGCUGUGUCUGUUGUUUAUCUCUUGUUGGAUGUAGAAGUUUCUCAAGGAAGAGGUUCCAUUAACUGGCUGUUUAAUCGUUGAUUAUUUUCCCUAUCCUACUACUUUCGUCAGCUUACUUGGUACAUUUUAUAAAUUUGCUUUUUUGAAGUUAGUCUUUCUCUAUGUUUUCUGAAUGUUCUAUUCCUAGUGUUUUUGUUUGCAGUUGCAGAAGCAUCAGCAUUUCCCAUAAUUUUGGUAUUUAGACAUGGUAACUGACCUUUCUUGGAUUGUAUUUGGUAUGAAACAAUAGAUUUUUCCUUUUUGACAAGGCUAGAUUAGAUUUGGGUGUGCAAAUUAUGCACGAAUUUUUGAGAUAUUAUUUUUUUGUCCAAUUGUUAAUUAUUCUUGUUGUUGUGAAUUUUCAGCAGUUACUUGCUGGACAAGUCUUUUUAGAAGAUCAUUUGAAUGUCUCAUUCAUCUCUUCUGGGAUUCUCUCAGAUUUCUACUUUGGUUAGGAGUUAUGACAGCGUCUAUUGGUUGAAGUUAAUUCUGAUUAUUAUGUUAAGCACUUGAGGCGUUUCCUUAUGUUCUCUCAGAGGACUUCACAAUUUGCAGCAUUAAUAUUUUUUAUGCUUCUAGUGCUUUGAAAGAUUUGAUUGUCAUAACUCACGAGUACUGUGAUCCGAAAUUCUCAAUCUCUUGUGGCAGAUUCUAUGUAUAUUAUCAAUGUGGUUGGUGAGGCUGUGUUGUUUAUGUGUUUAUUAUCUGUUUGGAGACCACACGAAGCCCAUGUUGCAGUUUGUCAAGCAUGCUCUGGUUUCUGUUGAAUGAUUAAAAUAGGUUUUCCAUUAGAUGGUGUUAUAUUUAAGGGGUUUCUUUGCUGUAACAUGCUGCUUAUUAUCAUGGAUGCAGGUCUUCCGAAAUGCUCUGAACAAUGGAUGCAUCUGUUUUGUGCUGGUUUAGUUGGCCCUCACUACUUUCAACUAUUAUUUGUUGCACUUAAUGUGCACAAGUUGGUCAUUUGAUACAGUUACUCAUCAAAAUAUGUUUCUUUGUUUUUAUUUUUGUCAAAAGGAAAGCAUAUGGGCAUCUAGUUUUGCAUGGGCACAUGAGUGUUUUGCUUUGGUCCAAUGGUAUUUGGUUUUAAACAUUAUCUAACCGUCAUCAGCAUUGCUGCAUCUGUUGGAUAUCUCUACUACUAAGGUCAGCAAGCUUGGUACAUUUUAUAAAUUUGCACUUUUGAAGUUAGUCUUUUUCUAUGUUUUCUGUAUGUUCUAUUCAUAGUGUUUUUGUGUGGUGUUGCAGAAGCAUCAGCAUUAGCCAUAUGUCUGGUGAUUAGACAUGGAUACUGACCUUUCUUGGGUUGUAUUUGGUAUUAGAUAUAGGUUUUACAUUUUUGAUAAGGCUCGUUUAGAUUUAGGAGUGCGAAUUAUGAGUGAACUAGAUAUUUUUUUUCGUCCAAAUGUUAAUUAUUCUUGUUGUGAUGAAUUUUCAGCAGUUCCUUGGUUGGCAAGUCUUAUUAGAAGCAAGCUUUGCGAUUUCGAAUCAUACCGCCCGUAUCGGACAGUAUGUACCGGGCGAUACGCGGACUGCUCGCUACUGAGCGGUCCACUCGAUAUAGUCCCGUAUUAGACGAUACAAGGGUGUUUCGGGCGGUAACGGUUGAAAUUUCGAUCAUUACCGCCUACUACUGCGUGGUAUCAACCUAGCUAUGGCGAAGUUGAGGGAGAAGCAUCGAAGAAGGAAGAAGGAGAGGGUGUUCAAAGAAGAGGGAGAAGAAGAGAAAACCAUUUCCAUAUUGGGUUAAUUGCAUCCAUUGGUAUUCAAGUUUGGUUGUAGAGGUUGUCCGCCGAUUUUGUUGAAUUUUCUUGAAUUCCAUAGAGCCAUGGUUUCCAAUGGCCUGAUGGCUGUUCAUUUAUUGCCAAAAUGCAGUCCAACCAUUCCACGGAAUUACAUUUGGAUGGACAUUAUUUUCACUUUGACUUUGUGAACCUUUGCUCUUAAAAGUACUCUUUUGGGUUUUUACUACAAUAACAACAACUAUAAAACCGUAAGUCCUGAUUAUUUGGGCUCGACUAUUUGGAUCUUUUGCCAUCAUUGAAAUAUGUAAAAAGUUAUAUGUUUAGUUAAGUUUAAAGUAUUUAAAUCUUUAUUUAUAAUUUUUAUUAAAGUCUUUUUAGGUAUUUUAUAAAUAAGCUUGAUCGAAUAUUUCAUUGAUGAAGAUUCUUACAACCAUAUUUGAUACAAACAAGAUUUCAAGAUUAUUGUUUUGGUUAGCAUGAAGAAUAGAAGUUCUAUCUGCACUCAUAGUCAAAUAUUUUGCUUCAGCUUCUUCUUGUUCUUCUGGAGGGAGAUGUCUUUGGAAAGGGGGUCAAAAAAAUCUCAAAUUGUUUGCAUGUUGUUUUCGAUUGUAUAGACAAAUAUGUUAAGUUCUAACGCAAUCAACGUUAGGUCUUUGAGUUUAGUUUUUUUAGUAUGGAUCAAAAUGUUAUAGAUGAACUUUGUGAAGUUAUAAUGAUGGUUACUGUGUUUCUUUGAGCUAUAGAAUUUUGUUGCCAAUUAGCCAUGUGUUUAUGUAAUUUGAUAUUAUCCUUGGUGGGAAUGACUUGUCAGAGAUUAGAUGAACUUUGAAAGAUGGAUCAGUUAUGACCUGCAGCUCCACUUUUUCACUUCUAUCAUGUGAUGUGCCAGCUUUUGUUGUAGUGAACUAGUGAUCAUAUUUUUUAGUUACUGGUCAUCUGGCAUACAUUGGUUUGGAUAUUUUCUUCUAAUGGGUUUUGGCUUGUCAUCUGAGAAGUUCUUCUGGCAUGCUUUCUUUUGUGAGGGUAGAUCGAAAAUUUUGCUUACCCUUCCUUUGGAUCUUCAUUUUGGUUGCAAUAUCCAGACAAUGGUAAGAGCUUUUGCUGGAUCCUGUGUUUGAUGCAAGAUGGGCUUAUCCUGGCUUUGAUAAGAACUGUGGUUGCAAUAUAAGUUACAAUUUCUUUGCUUUUCUCAGGCAUAUUUUCUUCAAGUUUGAUAUGCAUUUUUUUUGUUGAACAUAUAUGUUGCAUUUGAAAUUUGUUUUGGGAAAACAAGAAUUGAGCAGCUCAGCAUCAUAUAGAUAAUAUUUUUGAGGGAAAGGAGUAUCUUUUCUCUUGGAAACAGUUUCAACUGAAGAAACAGUUUGGGUUGGUUCUUUUAUUCUGGUAUUCUGAAAUUAGUGAAUGAGUUCUAUGAUGAAGCAAAGAUGCACAAUACCAGGAACCAAGAUUGCAGAACCAUAUCUUCAUUGUAUGAUGGUCAAUCUUUUCUUCAUUGGAUUGCAGACAUGAAAAGGGAUAUUUCCUGUAUUUAUCCACUUUUAACGGUGGACAUAGAAUGAUUCACCUUUGUUAGUUUCCUGCAAUAUGACCAUGUAGUUGGAAUAUCUACAGGAAGCCUGUACUGUUUAUAUGUGUUGGGAGUAUCAAAACAAUGGGUGUUUUAUGCACUACAAGGCCUCUUGCCUUUCCCUUUA
Musa acuminata AAA Group (dessert banana) is the source of this 8592-nucleotide long non-coding RNA. RefSeq lists it as uncharacterized. Lineage: Eukaryota; Viridiplantae; Streptophyta; Magnoliopsida; Zingiberales; Musaceae. The record is from RefSeq and is a predicted model, not a curated record. The transcript has 2 exons.